CCUACGGGAGGCAGCAGUGGGGAAUAUUGGACAAUGGGGGGAACCCUGAUCCAGCGACGCCGCGUGAGUGAAGAAGUAUUUCGGUAUGUAAAGCUCUAUCAGCAGGGAAGAAAGAAAUGACGGUACCUGACCAAGAAGCCCCGGCUAACUACGUGCCAGCAGCCGCGGGAAUACGUAGGGUGCAAGCGUUAUCCGGAUUUACUGGGUGUAAAGGGAGCGUAGGCGGCGAUGCAAGUCUGAAGUGAAAGGCGGGGGCCCAACCCCCGGACUGCUUUGGAAACUGUAUGGCUGGAGUGCAGGAGAGGUAAGUGGAAUUCGUAGUGUAGCGGUGAAAUGCGUAGAUAUUAGGAAGAACACCGGUGGCGAAGGCGGCUUGCUGGACUGUAACUGACGUUGAGGCUCGAAAGCGUGGGGAGCGAACAGGAUUAGAUACCCGUGUAGUC
RNAcentral lists this ribosomal RNA (443 nucleotides) under uncultured bacterium. Its description in RNAcentral is "partial 16S ribosomal RNA". It matches the Rfam family "Bacterial small subunit ribosomal RNA", at positions 338 to 795 of the family's 1533-position model. The record is from RNAcentral.